This 603-nucleotide ribosomal RNA is filed under the name Triticum aestivum (bread wheat). RNAcentral describes it as "partial small subunit ribosomal RNA". The record is from RNAcentral. Lineage: Eukaryota; Viridiplantae; Streptophyta; Magnoliopsida; Poales; Poaceae.
GGAGAUAUGAAGUACUUUCUUAGACCUCUGUUUGUUGUGUCCAUACCGUGUCUGCUAUCUCAAAGUGUACUAUAAUUCCCAAGUGAAUAAGUAGUGCAAAAGUAGUAGGUUUGAGUUUCGGUGUAGUGUAGUAUUCAAACAUCUGUGUUUGUUUGUAUCGUCGCUAUCUUUGUGCUGGUCUCGUGUGCGACUUUUGAUGUAACCUCAUGUGGCUGUUGUGGUCUGGACAAUUGGGACUCUGUCUUCGCCGAUAGUGCGUGAAUGACCGGUGGUGCGUCCGCCUCGUGGUCCACUUCCCAUCUGAGGAAGACCUACAACAUCAGACGGUCCCACGCCGGUAGGAGGUCGACGAACGGUCGCUUCUACUCUGCGACGACCAGGCCCCCUUACGGGAGGAAUAGGACCUAGAACCGGAAGUGUAACAGCUACCACAGGCUCCUGAGGUGGAGGUCCCACUACCAGAACGGCCACUCGCAGAACUGUUUUUAGACGUACGGAGGUGCUUCGGACUCGUGGUCCACCUCCCACCUGAGGAAGACUUACAACAUCAGUCGGUCCCACGCCGGUAGGAGGUCGACGAACGGCCGUUUCUACUCCGCGACG